AUUGAACGCUGGCGGCAGGCCUAACACAUGCAAGUCGAACGGUAACAGAAAGUAGCUUGCUACUUUGCUGACGAGUGGCGGACGGGUGAGUAAUGUCUGGGGAUCUGCCUGAUGGAGGGGGAUAACUACUGGAAACGGUAGCUAAUACCGCAUAAUGUCGCAAGACCAAAGCGGGGGACUUUCGGGCCUCGCACCAUCAGAUGAACCCAGAUGGGAUUAGCUAGUAGGUAGGGUAAUGGCUUACCUAGGCGACGAUCCCUAGCUGGUCUGAGAGGAUGACCAGCCACACUGGAACUGAGAUACGGUCCAGACUCCUACGGAAGGCAGCAGUGGGGAAUAUUGCACAAUGGGCGCAAGCCUGAUGCAGCCAUGCCGCGUGUAUGAAGAAGGCCUUCGGGUUGUAAAGUACUUUCAGUCAGGAGGAAGGGUGUGAAAUUAAUACUUUCAUGCAUUGACGUUACUGACAGAAGAAGCACCGGCUAACUCCGUGCCAGCCGCCGCGGUAA
This 506-nucleotide ribosomal RNA is filed under the name uncultured bacterium. Its description in RNAcentral is "partial 16S ribosomal RNA". It matches the Rfam family "Bacterial small subunit ribosomal RNA", at positions 30 to 523 of the family's 1533-position model. The record is from RNAcentral.